CGGAGGGUGCAAGCGUUAUCCGGAUUCGACUGGGUUUAAAGGGUGCGUAGGCGGGUUGGUAAGUCCGUGGUGAAAUCUCCGAGCUUAACUCGGAAACUGCCGUGGAUACUAUCAAUCUUGAAUAUCGUGGAGGUAAGCGGAAUAUGUCAUGUAGCGGUGAAAUGCUUAGAUAUGACAUAGAACACCAAUUGCGUAGGCAGCUUACUACACGAUCAUUGACGCUGAGGCACGAAAGCGUGGGGAGCAAACAGGAUUAGAUACCCUGGUAGUCCACGCCCUAAACGAUGGAUACUCGACAUCAGCGAUACACUGUUGGUGUCUGAGCGAAAGCAUUAAGUAUCCCACCUGGGAAGUACGGAUCGCAAGAUUG
This 370-nucleotide ribosomal RNA is filed under the name uncultured organism. Its description in RNAcentral is "bacterial SSU rRNA". It matches the Rfam family "Bacterial small subunit ribosomal RNA", at positions 526 to 896 of the family's 1533-position model. The record is from RNAcentral.